Non-coding RNA from Aedes aegypti (yellow fever mosquito), 43 nucleotides. The record is from Rfam. NCBI's taxonomy places the organism in Eukaryota, Metazoa, Arthropoda, Insecta, Diptera, Culicidae.
CAAUCGGCCCUUUUCAGGGCCAACAUACUUUAAAAGGGUUUAU